UGGGGAAUAUUGGACAAUGGGGGCAACCCUGAUCCAGCCAUGCCGCGUGUGUGAAGAAGGCCCUUGGGUUGUAAAGCACUUUCAGUGGGGAGAAAAGUCUGUUACUUAAUACGUGAUGGAAUUGAUGUUACCCACAGAAGAAGCACCGGCUAACUCCGUGCCAGCAGCCGCGGUAAUACGGAGGGUGCAAGCGUUAAUCGGAAUUACUGGGCGUAAAGCGCACGUAGGUGGUUUGUUAAGUCAGCUGUGAAAUCCCCGGGCUCAACCUGGGCACUGCAGUUGAAACUGGCAAGCUAGAGUAGGGUAGAGGGGUGUGGAAUUCCAGGUGUAGCGGUGAAAUGCGUAGAUAUCUGGAGGAACAUCAGUGGCGAAGGCGACACCCUGGACUCAUACUGACACUGAGGUGCGAAAGCGUGGGGAGCAAACAGG
This 429-nucleotide ribosomal RNA is filed under the name uncultured bacterium. RNAcentral describes it as "bacterial SSU rRNA". It matches the Rfam family "Bacterial small subunit ribosomal RNA", at positions 355 to 776 of the family's 1533-position model. The record is from RNAcentral.